GACGAACGCUGGCGGCGUGCUUAACACAUGCAAGUCGAGCGAUGAAGUUCCUUCGGGAACGGAUUAGCGGCGGACGGGUGAGUAACACGUGGGUAACCUGCCUCGUAGAGGGGAAUAGCCUUUCGAAAGGAAGAUUAAUGCCCCAUAAGAUUGUAGUACCGCAUGGUAUAGCAAUUAAAGGAGUAAUCCGCUAUGAGAUGGACCCGCGUCGCAUUAGCUAGUUGGUGAGGUAACGGCUCACCAAGGCGACGAUGCGUAGCCGACCUGAGAGGGUGAUCGGCCACAUUGGGACUGAGACACGGCCCAGACUCCUACGGGAGGCAGCAGUGGGAAAUAUUGCACAAUGGGGGAAACCCUGAUGCAGCAACGCCGCGUGAGUGAUGACGGUCUUCGGAUUGUAAAACUCUGUCUUCAGGGACGAUAAUGACGGUACCUGAGGAGGAAGCCACGGCUAACUACGUGCCAGCCGCCGCCGUAA
Molecule: ribosomal RNA, 478 nt
Filed under: uncultured bacterium
Lineage: Bacteria
Description: partial 16S ribosomal RNA
Rfam family: Bacterial small subunit ribosomal RNA
Source: RNAcentral